RNAcentral lists this ribosomal RNA (120 nucleotides) under uncultured bacterium. RNAcentral describes it as "partial 16S ribosomal RNA". It matches the Rfam family "Bacterial small subunit ribosomal RNA", at positions 215 to 334 of the family's 1533-position model. The record is from RNAcentral.
UUGCCGAAAGAUCGGCCCGCGUCGGAUUAGCUAGUUGGUAGGGUAAAAGCCUACCAAGGCGACGAUCCGUAGCUGGUCUGAGAGGAUGACCAGCCACACUGGGACUGAGACACGGCCCAG